RNAcentral lists this unclassified non-coding RNA (458 nucleotides) under Hevea brasiliensis (rubber tree). Lineage: Eukaryota; Viridiplantae; Streptophyta; Magnoliopsida; Malpighiales; Euphorbiaceae. The record is from RNAcentral.
UUUUGCAGGAUUGUCCAUAGCUCUUUUGGGAACAAUUAUAUCAAACUAUUCUUACUACUUUUUGAUGCCGUGGACAUGCUUGUGCAUGGGAAUAUUCUUGGUGAAGACGAUGAAGAGAGUUCUCUUUGCAGAGGUGAGGACGUACGAUUCAAGUAGCCAUCACUAUCUCCUAUUGUUUAUUGCUUUAGCUCAAUUUCCUCUUCUCUUUUGGCUUGGGAAGAUUAGCCUUAGUUGGUUCUUUUGAAUUACAUCUCCAGUUGUUAAGGUAGUGCGGCAGUUUAUGCUUUUAGAGAAGUAAAGCAAUCAAUUAUUUUGUAAUCUUCGUCACUUUGAUGUUCUAUUCUUGAAUGCUAGAGAGACAUGUAAAUGAACUGAUUAUCCACUUACUCCACCUAAAUGUGUACGAUAAGGCUUGUAAUGCUUAGAAGUUUCCCACUGGUAAACAGAAAGUACAGGAG